This 2929-nucleotide ribosomal RNA is filed under the name Escherichia coli. RNAcentral's name for it is "23S ribosomal RNA". It matches the Rfam family "Bacterial large subunit ribosomal RNA". Lineage: Bacteria; Pseudomonadati; Pseudomonadota; Gammaproteobacteria; Enterobacterales; Enterobacteriaceae. The record is from RNAcentral.
GGGUUGUGAGGUUAAGCGACUAAGCGUACACGGUGGAUGCCCUGGCAGUCAGAGGCGAUGAAGGACGUGCUAAUCUGCGAUAAGCGUCGGUAAGGUGAUAUGAACCGUUAUAACCGGCGAUUUCCGAAUGGGGAAACCCAGUGUGUUUCGACACACUAUCAUUAACUGAAUCCAUAGGUUAAUGAGGCGAACCGGGGGAACUGAAACAUCUAAGUACCCCGAGGAAAAGAAAUCAACCGAGAUUCCCCCAGUAGCGGCGAGCGAACGGGGAGGAGCCCAGAGCCUGAAUCAGUGUGUGUGUUAGUGGAAGCGUCUGGAAAGGCGCGCGAUACAGGGUGACAGCCCCGUACACAAAAAUGCACAUAUUGUGAGCUCGAUGAGUAGGGCGGGACACGUGGUAUCCUGUCUGAAUAUGGGGGGACCAUCCUCCAAGGCUAAAUACUCCUGACUGACCGAUAGUGAACCAGUACCGUGAGGGAAAGGCGAAAAGAACCCCGGCGAGGGGAGUGAAAAAGAACCUGAAACCGUGUACGUACAAGCAGUGGGAGCCUCUUUUAUGGGGUGACUGCGUACCUUUUGUAUAAUGGGUCAGCGACUUAUAUUCUGUAGCAAGGUUAACCGAAUAGGGGAGCCGAAGGGAAACCGAGUCUUAACUGGGCGUUAAGUUGCAGGGUAUAGACCCGAAACCCGGUGAUCUAGCCAUGGGCAGGUUGAAGGUUGGGUAACACUAACUGGAGGACCGAACCGACUAAUGUUGAAAAAUUAGCGGAUGACUUGUGGCUGGGGGUGAAAGGCCAAUCAAACCGGGAGAUAGCUGGUUCUCCCCGAAAGCUAUUUAGGUAGCGCCUCGUGAAUUCAUCUCCGGGGGUAGAGCACUGUUUCGGCAAGGGGGUCAUCCCGACUUACCAACCCGAUGCAAACUGCGAAUACCGGAGAAUGUUAUCACGGGAGACACACGGCGGGUGCUAACGUCCGUCGUGAAGAGGGAAACAACCCAGACCGCCAGCUAAGGUCCCAAAGUCAUGGUUAAGUGGGAAACGAUGUGGGAAGGCCCAGACAGCCAGGAUGUUGGCUUAGAAGCAGCCAUCAUUUAAAGAAAGCGUAAUAGCUCACUGGUCGAGUCGGCCUGCGCGGAAGAUGUAACGGGGCUAAACCAUGCACCGAAGCUGCGGCAGCGACACUAUGUGUUGUUGGGUAGGGGAGCGUUCUGUAAGCCUGUGAAGGUGUACUGUGAGGUAUGCUGGAGGUAUCAGAAGUGCGAAUGCUGACAUAAGUAACGAUAAAGCGGGUGAAAAGCCCGCUCGCCGGAAGACCAAGGGUUCCUGUCCAACGUUAAUCGGGGCAGGGUGAGUCGACCCCUAAGGCGAGGCCGAAAGGCGUAGUCGAUGGGAAACAGGUUAAUAUUCCUGUACUUGGUGUUACUGCGAAGGGGGGACGGAGAAGGCUAUGUUGGCCGGGCGACGGUUGUCCCGGUUUAAGCGUGUAGGCUGGUUUUCCAGGCAAAUCCGGAAAAUCAAGGCUGAGGCGUGAUGACGAGGCACUACGGUGCUGAAGCAACAAAUGCCCUGCUUCCAGGAAAAGCCUCUAAGCAUCAGGUAACAUCAAAUCGUACCCCAAACCGACACAGGUGGUCAGGUAGAGAAUACCAAGGCGCUUGAGAGAACUCGGGUGAAGGAACUAGGCAAAAUGGUGCCGUAACUUCGGGAGAAGGCACGCUGAUAUGUAGGUGAAGUCCCUCGCGGAUGGAGCUGAAAUCAGUCGAAGAUACCAGCUGGCUGCAACUGUUUAUUAAAAACACAGCACUGUGCAAACACGAAAGUGGACGUAUACGGUGUGACGCCUGCCCGGUGCCGGAAGGUUAAUUGAUGGGGUCAGCGCAAGCGAAGCUCUUGAUCGAAGCCCCGGUAAACGGCGGCCGUAACUAUAACGGUCCUAAGGUAGCGAAAUUCCUUGUCGGGUAAGUUCCGACCUGCACGAAUGGCGUAAUGAUGGCCAGGCUGUCUCCACCCGAGACUCAGUGAAAUUGAACUCGCUGUGAAGAUGCAGUGUACCCGCGGCAAGACGGAAAGACCCCGUGAACCUUUACUAUAGCUUGACACUGAACAUUGAGCCUUGAUGUGUAGGAUAGGUGGGAGGCUUAGAAGUGUGGACGCCAGUCUGCAUGGAGCCGACCUUGAAAUACCACCCUUUAAUGUUUGAUGUUCUAACGUUGACCCGUGAUCCGGGUUGCGGACAGUGUCUGGUGGGUAGUUUGACUGGGGCGGUCUCCUCCUAAAGAGUAACGGAGGAGCACGAAGGUUGGCUAAUCCUGGUCGGACAUCAGGAGGUUAGUGCAAUGGCAUAAGCCAGCUUGACUGCGAGCGUGACGGCGCGAGCAGGUGCGAAAGCAGGUCAUAGUGAUCCGGUGGUUCUGAAUGGAAGGGCCAUCGCUCAACGGAUAAAAGGUACUCCGGGGAUAACAGGCUGAUACCGCCCAAGAGUUCAUAUCGACGGCGGUGUUUGGCACCUCGAUGUCGGCUCAUCACAUCCUGGGGCUGAAGUAGGUCCCAAGGGUAUGGCUGUUCGCCAUUUAAAGUGGUACGCGAGCUGGGUUUAGAACGUCGUGAGACAGUUCGGUCCCUAUCUGCCGUGGGCGCUGGAGAACUGAGGGGGGCUGCUCCUAGUACGAGAGGACCGGAGUGGACGCAUCACUGGUGUUCGGGUUGUCAUGCCAAUGGCACUGCCCGGUAGCUAAAUGCGGAAGAGAUAAGUGCUGAAAGCAUCUAAGCACGAAACUUGCCCCGAGAUGAGUUCUCCCUGACCCUUUAAGGGUCCUGAAGGAACGUUGAAGACGACGACGUUGAUAGGCCGGGUGUGUAAGCGCAGCGAUGCGUUGAGCUAACCGGUACUAAUGAACCGUGAGGCUUAACCUUACAACGCCGAAGCUGUU